AGGAUGAAGAUUGAGAAAAGGACAUCAGAUUUGAGGAGAGCAGUUUUAGCUGAGUGAUGAGAUCAGAAGCCAAAUGAGGAGGGAUGUAGGAGUGAGGAGGGAAGAGGGAGGAGGAAGGAAGUCAGGGAGUGGAAGAGAGAGAGAGGUGUUUCUCGGAGGACAUUGCAUGCAUGGGGGAAUGGCCUGUACACAGGCACACAGGAGGAAAGGAUAGUGCCAUUUUCAGGGAACUAGGCUAGUUUGGUUGGAAUAUGCUAUAAUGAGCUGUAAAGUGCUCUAGGGAUUCUAAGGAAGGUGAAAUCACUGAGCACUGCAUUGAAGCCAGAUUGUGUUCCUAUGUGGGAGCAAAAACUGAUUUUGACUGAAAGCUUAUGAACACAAGAUCCUUUGAACUGGGAAUGCUUUGGGUGAACUAGAAAUACUCCAUUGGAGAAAACGUGUCAGCGGAAAACAAAGAAAAGGGGUGGACGUUCUCAAGUGACACAGUCCAACCUGUAACUCAAGAUAAUUACUUGUCAAGAAGAAAGGAAACAAGCAUUUAUUAAACACAUAGCAUGUGCCAGGCACCAUGGCUGGACCUGAGUCUCAUGAAGAUUGCUUGUCAGGAAGGAUGGAAAUGAAUAUUUUAUUAAGUGCCUACAAAGUGCCAGGUGCUAAGCUAAAUGCUUUAAAAAUAUCUCAUUUGAUCUUCAAAAUAACCUUAGGAGGGCUUUACAGUUGGAAACAUGACAUAUAAUGAAGAAUGACUCCUCAUCUUUUGAGUCACAGACACCUAAACCAGAAGCAACCUAGAAGAUUUGAUUUCACUCUUUCCCUUCCUCUUUUGGAGAUCUUUGAGAACCAGUAUAAUUUGCAUAAUUCAGCACAGCUGCUCAAGAAGAUGAGCAGGGCCAAAACAACUGGAAAGUAAGGGGUAUUGAUCUUCUCAACACCUCUUGAAUGACUUUAUUUUGUGGAGAAUAACGCUGAAAUAGAAGAUCUGAAAAAGGAUGUGAUUGUCCAUAGAAUCAGUCUUGAAAGAUUUCUAAUAAUACCAAUUAAGUCUUUGGGGUAGUUAUUCACCUGAAUAUCUCCUUAAGAUUUUGCACCAUCAAAUCCAGACUCGGAAAUUUACUACUUAAUCUCUGGCUACUUCAUUUUCCUGAUCUGCAUAAUGGAGAUAAAAAAGAGUUGUUGUGAGGAUCAAAAAGAGAUGAUAUUAUAAAGCACUUGAUUAUUACUCUAGAAUCUCUGAACUACUUUCUCUUCUAUUAUCCCAAAAGAUAUCUCUGCCACUUUUAAAUUUUCUUUUAUAUGUUUCUUCCUCCUUUAUAAUAUAAACUCAGAGGGCCGGGACUGUCUUUUUACUUAUUACUGAAACUUAACACAAUGUUUUCCACAGG
This 1382-nucleotide long non-coding RNA is filed under the name Monodelphis domestica (gray short-tailed opossum). Its description in RNAcentral is "lncRNA (ENSMODG00000033472.2)". The record is from RNAcentral. Lineage: Eukaryota; Metazoa; Chordata; Mammalia; Didelphimorphia; Didelphidae.